Molecule: ribosomal RNA, 320 nt
Filed under: uncultured Prevotella sp.
Lineage: Bacteria; Pseudomonadati; Bacteroidota; Bacteroidia; Bacteroidales; Prevotellaceae
Description: bacterial SSU rRNA
Rfam family: Bacterial small subunit ribosomal RNA
Source: RNAcentral
GAUGAACGCUAGCUACAGGCUUAACACAUGCAAGUCGAGGGGCAGCAUGAAGUUUGCUUGCAAACUUUGAUGGCGACCGGCGCACGGGUGAGUAACGCGUAUCCAACCUUCCCCGCAGUAGGGAACAGCCCGGCGAAAGUCGGAUUAAUGCCCUAUGUUCUCCUUUGCAGGCAUCUAACGAGGAGCAAAGAUUCAUCGCUGCGGGAUGGGGAUGCGUCUGAUUAGCUUGUCGGCGGGGUAACGGCCCACCGAGGCGACGAUCAGUAGGGGUUCUGAGAGGAAGGUCCCCCACAUUGGUACUGAGACACGGACCAAACUCC